AAGUAGAAGGUGCAAUCAGAA
Molecule: unclassified non-coding RNA, 21 nt
Filed under: Mus musculus (house mouse)
Lineage: Eukaryota; Metazoa; Chordata; Mammalia; Rodentia; Muridae
Description: oocyte_clustered_small_RNA217
Source: RNAcentral